This 927-nucleotide non-coding RNA is filed under the name Micropsitta finschii. RNAcentral describes it as "partial 12S ribosomal RNA". It matches the Rfam family "Bacterial small subunit ribosomal RNA". The record is from RNAcentral. Lineage: Eukaryota; Metazoa; Chordata; Aves; Psittaciformes; Psittacidae.
AAAGACUUAGUCCCAACCUUACCGUUAAUUCUUGCCCAAUAUAUACAUGCAAGUAUCCGCACCCCAGUGCAAACGCCCCUAACCCCUUACCAAGACAAAAGGAGCAGGCAUCAGGCACACAUCAACGUAGCCCAAGACGCCACGCCCAGCCACACCCCCACGGGUACUCAGCAGUAAUUAACAUUAAGCAAUAGGCGUAAGCCUGACUUAGUUAGAGCAACCAGGGUCGGUAAAUCUUGUGCCAGCCACCGCGGUCAUACAAGAGACCCAAAUUAACCGUAAACGGCGUAAAGAGUGGACCCAAAAAAUAUCUAAACCAAUUAAGACCAAACCACCACAACACAGCUGUCACAAGCUCAAAGCACAUCAAAGCCCAACCUAAAAACGAUCUUAACACCUAAGACUUACCCACCCCACGAAAGCCAGGGCACAAACUGGGAUUAGAUACCCCACUAUGCCUAGCCCUAAAUCUUGAUGUUUCCAACACAAAAACAUCCGCCUGAGAACUACGAGCACAAACGCUUAAAACUCUAAGGACUUGGCGGUGCCCUAAACCCACCUAGAGGAGCCUGUUCUAUAAUCGAUAAUCCACGAUACACCCGACCACUUCUCGCCAAAGCAGCCUACAUACCGCCGUCACCAGCCCACCUCCUUGAGAGUACAACAGUGAGCCCAACAGCCACUAUCCGCUAACAAGACAGGUCAAGGUAUAGCCUAUGAAGUGGAAGAAAUGGGCUACAUUUUCUAAAAUAGAUAAACUCCACGAAAAGGGGCCUGAAAUCUGCCCCUAGAAGGCGGAUUUAGCAGUAAAGAGAGACAAUCAAGCCCUCCUUAAGCUGGUCCUAGGGCACGUACACACCGCCCGUCACCCUCUUCAUAAGCCCCCAACACCCUAACUAACACAAUCACCACAGCUAAAGACGAGGU